CGCCAGACUCCUACGGGAGGCAGCAGUGGGGAAUAUUGGGCAAUGGGCGCAAGCCUGACCCAGCAACGCCGCGUGAAGGAAGAAGGCUUUCGGGUUGUAAACUUCUUUUGACAGGGAAGAGCAGAAGACGGUACCUGUCGAAUAAGCCACGGCUAACUACGUGCCAGCAGCCGCGGUAAUACGUAGGUGGCAAGCGUUGUCCGGAUUUACUGGGUGUAAAGGGCGUGUAGCCGGGCUUACAAGUCAGAUGUGAAAUCCGGGGGCUCAACCCCCGAACUGCAUUUGAAACUGUAGGUCUUGAGUAUCGGAGGGGCAGGCGGAAUUCCUGGUGUAGCGGUGAAAUGCGUAGAUAUCAGGAGGAACACCGGUGGCGAAGGCGGCCUGCUGGACUGCAACUGACGUUGAGGCCCGAAAGCGUGGGGAGCAAACAGGAUUAGAUACCCGUGUACA
Molecule: ribosomal RNA, 450 nt
Filed under: uncultured bacterium
Lineage: Bacteria
Description: bacterial SSU rRNA
Rfam family: Bacterial small subunit ribosomal RNA
Source: RNAcentral